AUUGAACGCUGGCGGCAUGCCUUACACAUGCAAGUCGAACGGCAGCACGGGUGCUUGCCCCUGGUGGCGAGUGGCGAACGGGCGAGUAAUACAUCGGAACAUGUCCUGUAGUGGGGGAUAGCCCGGCGAAAGCCGGAUUAAUACCGCAUACGAUCUACGGAUGAAAGCGGGGGACCUUCGGGCCUCGCGCUAUAGGGUUGGCCGAUGGCUGAUUAGCUAGUUGGUGGGGUAAAGGCCUACCAAGGCGACGAUCAGUAGCUGGUCUGAGAGGACGACCAGCCACACUGGGACUGAGACACGGCCCAGACUCCUACGGGAGGCAGCAGUGGGGAAUUUUGGACAAUGGGCGAAAGCCUGAUCCAGCAAUGCCGCGUGUGUGAAGAAGGCCUUCGGGUUGUAAAGCACUUUUGUCCGGAAAGAAAUCCUUGGCCCUAAUACGGUCGGGGGAUGACGGUACCGGAAGAAUAAGCACCGGCUAACUACGUG
Molecule: ribosomal RNA, 486 nt
Filed under: uncultured bacterium
Lineage: Bacteria
Description: partial 16S ribosomal RNA
Rfam family: Bacterial small subunit ribosomal RNA
Source: RNAcentral